GCCGCGAUGCGUUCUCUUCACUAGGUCAGAAAUAAAUUAAAAUAUAAUGCGGAAAGGACUGGUUUGGUGAUGUUGACUUCGGAACAACAGAUGUCAAGUGCAAUAACGACAUUAAAGCUAAUAAAUAAGAAGGGAAAAGCGUAAAAAAAAUUUAAAAAAUUAAAAAAUACCUCUGCCUUUGUCAAACGAGUGCAAAGUGUUAAAGGUAUGGCAGCAAUUGAAGUGAAGUUCUAUAUUUAUGCAGUUCCGGCUCAUUAGAAAUUUAAAGUCUGAAAUAUUGAGUCAUCCCACACAGUGCUUAAAUGCAAAAUGAAAUAAAAAAAGUUUAUAUAUCAGGAAGGAAACUAAUUACGUUUCGUACGGCACCGACUAGACAAUCAAAAGAGUUAUUGGCAGCAGCAAUCAAUGUUACGUGAGGUGGAGCCGAAGGGGAAACUGGAAUGGGCACGUGACUGAAGCUGGAACCUUAUAUGACUGUUAAAGAUACAUUUCCUCUUCUUUGUAACUAUAAACAACAAAGCGCAUCGCAGAACAUGUGUAAAUGGAAACAAACCCGCUGAGAUGGAAAAUACAUACGUUACAAAAAGUUGAAA
Long non-coding RNA from Drosophila mauritiana, 593 nucleotides. RefSeq lists it as uncharacterized. The transcript is spliced from 2 exons. NCBI's taxonomy places the organism in Eukaryota, Metazoa, Arthropoda, Insecta, Diptera, Drosophilidae. The record is from RefSeq and is a predicted model, not a curated record.